GACUCAUGAGUCGACCCCUGAAGCAUGAGUCGACUCAUGAGUCGACCCCUGCGACGGGAAUUAUCCGCAACGGCUAGUUUUUUGUCCGUUUUAGUUGCCUUUAAUGCUCACUUUAAAUGUUCUAACGGCUCUUUUUCUGCCUAAAAUGUUUUCCCUUGUUUCUUAAAGCUAUAAAAGGUUUCAAAAGGUGGAAAACAAAAGGGGAUCUACAAUAUACACGAGAGAUACAAGAGAUCUACAAUAUACACAAGAGACAUACG
Molecule: long non-coding RNA, 260 nt
Filed under: Elaeis guineensis (African oil palm)
Lineage: Eukaryota; Viridiplantae; Streptophyta; Magnoliopsida; Arecales; Arecaceae
Description: long non-coding RNA (EGUI_LNC028240)
Source: RNAcentral